AACGAACGCUGGCGGCAGGCCUAACACAUGCAAGUCGAGCGAAGCCUUCGGGCUUAGCGGCGGACGGGUGAGUAACGCGUGGGAACGUGCCCUUUGCUACGGAAUAGCCCCGGGAAACUGGGAGUAAUACCGUAUGUGCCCUUCGGGGGAAAGAUUUAUCGGCAAAGGAUCGGCCCGCGUUGGAUUAGGUAGUUGGUGGGGUAAUGGCCUACCAAGCCGACGAUCCAUAGCUGGUUUGAGAGGAUGAUCAGCCACACUGGGACUGAGACACGGCCCAGACUCCUACGGGAGGCAGCAGUGGGGAAUCUUAGACAAUGGGCGCAAGCCUGAUCUAGCCAUGCCGCGUGAUCGAUGAAGGCCUUAGGGUUGUAAAGAUCUUUCAGGUGGGAAGAUAAUGACCGUGCCACCAGAAGAAGCCCCGGCUAACUCCGUGCCAGCCGCCGCAGUAA
This 449-nucleotide ribosomal RNA is filed under the name uncultured bacterium. RNAcentral describes it as "partial 16S ribosomal RNA". It matches the Rfam family "Bacterial small subunit ribosomal RNA", at positions 29 to 523 of the family's 1533-position model. The record is from RNAcentral.